UACGUAGGGUGCAAGCGUUAUCCGGAAUUAUUGGGCGUAAAGAGCUCGUAGGCGGUUUGUCGCGUCUGCUGUGAAAACCGGAGGCUCAACCUCCGGCCUGCAGUGGGUACGGGCAAACUAGAGUGCGGUAGGGGAGAUUGGAAUUCCUGGUGUAGCGGUGGAAUGCGCAGAUAUCAGGAGGAACACCGAUGGCGAAGGCAGAUCUCUGGGCCGUAACUGACGCUGAGGAACGAAAGCGUGGGGAGCGAACAGG
RNAcentral lists this ribosomal RNA (253 nucleotides) under uncultured bacterium. RNAcentral's name for it is "partial 16S ribosomal RNA". It matches the Rfam family "Bacterial small subunit ribosomal RNA", at positions 524 to 776 of the family's 1533-position model. The record is from RNAcentral.